ACGUGCAGGCAUUUGUUCCUUCCUGAAGUUUUCUUUGGACAGACUCGAUGAAGAUCAAAACAAUUCUGGGAAGUUAGCAGCCCGCCCCAGGCUCUUGCAAACUUUGCAUCCCACAAAAGCACUGGGAAGAGUCCCAAUUUGGGUGAGUGUACGUGGCUGGGCUUUUUCUUGCAGAGGCUCUGUAAUCCGCCUCUGCCUGGCAAAAUGUCUGGGACGGCAGCAGAACCUGCUCCUCCUGUAGAGUCCUGCUUCAGCCACUGCCGUGUAACCAAAAUUACGCUUCUGCGGCUUUCAGCCUAGGAAUCCUGCUUUGCUUAGACAGAAACCUCGAGAAGGGGAAGGCUGGAAGACGCCUCUCCUUCCACCCGUCCUUCACCUCACUACCUCUCCACACAAAACUGUAACGCUCUUCGUAUAGUGUUUCAACCGAUCAAGAAGAAUCUGCCCCCCAAACCUCCAACAUAGCUUACGAAAAGUUGUUAACCCAGUCCUACGCUUUUGUUGUGGGUGAUCGUCCUCGGAGCGCGAUGCUGCAGCGCCGAGUCCCCAGCACCGAGCGCUCCAGGGCGACGGUGACCGGCGGUGCUGGCGGAGCGGGGCGUUAGUUCUUCUCUCCUCAGCCCCAAGCGAAUAACGGAGCUCGCUUGUCUCUUUGGGCGCGCUGCUCGUUUCAUCUGCAGGAAUGUCGGACGUUAGGGAUGACCAUCUCGGUUUGCAAGAUGUAGUAAUUUCUCUGUAAGUGCGUGCCUUCUCGUUAGCGGACAAACAGCGUGAUGAUAUUGAAAGCUGUAGAGGGUAUGAGUGAGGGAGACCAAAUGACAAGAAAUGCUAAGUGUUAUUGAAAUCCAGUAAGAUAAAAGGUAUGCAAUAACUGCUGUGCUCUGAAGUGAUGCAAAAAAUAUGAUGUCUUAUUCAGUUUAAAAAAACAAAGACAACACCUGAUAAAAGAACUUUAAAAGGAGCUUCUGAACACCCUUUCUACACUUUUGAACGAGCUUUAAACAGGUCUGGAAUGUAUAGAGCUGGGUUUCCUUCAGCUCUAUACAUAAACAUUUAUCGCUUUUCCAUAGCUACAAACAAAUAAAUACAGACAAUGAAAGGCAUAUGAAAGCUUAAAACUUGUGAAAUUCAAAUACUGUGCAGAAACAUAAAAGAAGCUGAACGGGUAGUAUUUCUUUAGAUGUAUUUAUAUGAGUGUGUUUGCAUGAAGGUAAAGUAUGAGCUGUCAUGAUGAGCAUUAUUUGGAUGAGCCGUACUACAUUUCUGCCCCUUACUUGGAUGAAUUCAGUGAAGGUUUUAGUGCAAAUAUUUGCAUUGAAAUUUACCUUUCCAGGGAUAUUCCUCCAGCUGUUUUUACAGAUAUUGCAAAACAACUAAUUUGCUAGAAUAUUCAUGAAAAGCAAAAAUAAGGAGCGUAAUUAAUGUUUGGGAGUAAUUUCCUUCUGAUCAAUAUACAUGAAAAAGUAUAUAUUUGAACAAAAAUUUAUGCAUUGCACAAAGAUAAAAGCAACACUGAAAUUACAAAGAUUAAGAAAUUAAAAUGAUGCAUGAGGAUUUUCUAAGGAUUUUCCAAUUAUUUGCACUGGUUUAUCUUGUGAUAAAAAUAACAAAAGGAGCCCUCUUUCCAUUGGCUUCCUCUUACCUUUUGAUGAUCUUGCUGUCUGUUAAGACCUUUUCCUCUAAAGAACAGCUUUUUUUUUUUUUUUUUAAUUAUGAGUACAAAAUUGGCAGAUGAUCCUUCAGCUUACAAACACAAAACAUAUUGUGACCGUAGAAAAA
Long non-coding RNA from Aquila chrysaetos chrysaetos, 1779 nucleotides. RefSeq lists it as uncharacterized. The record is from RefSeq and is a predicted model, not a curated record. The transcript has 2 exons. NCBI's taxonomy places the organism in Eukaryota, Metazoa, Chordata, Aves, Accipitriformes, Accipitridae.